CCCUUUCCUAGGGAUUCUCUGCAAACCGAGCUGUGUCACGAAGGAAGAGGCAGAACUUCCCUUUAGAAAGAAAACAGGAGCAGCAAAGACCCGGCAGGCAACGGGAAGGCUUCUCGUUCCGCCUCAGCCCCCUCCCUUCUGCAAUACUGCAGCUGAAAAUGCUCACCUCUCGGCACUUUCUGCUCUCUAGAACGCCCGUUUAAGGGACUGUCCACAAAUUAUCUGGAUAAUAUUGAAAACGCAAAGGGUUCUCGGCGGUGCCAUCAGUGCCUGAGCAGGUGUUCAUUCUGUGAGCAAAGCGAACAAUUUCACCUGUGUUGCCAACAAAUUUCUUUACAGUUCCGGAUUUUCAUUGUAAGGUUCAUAAACAGGCAGCAAUCCAACAGGUAAAGCCUUACCCACCACGUCCAUGUGGGGAAAGAGUUGUGUAACGGGCAGCAAUCCAACAGAUCAAAUCUGCUCCAUCAAAAUAUUGACCUUUCUCCUUGUCGGUGCACUUGCCUCAUGAAGAAAGUCCUUCUUGGUUUUUGAAUCAUAAAGGAAUCUCUUUCAGCAAAAGGGCCCGAUCCAGCCAGAUCUAACACUUCUGAAGUCCCAUUGAUUUUGCUGAGUUAAGCAUGUGAUUAACUUUGGCUGAAUUGUGACCACAGUUAGUAGUCAGUUGCUUCAUAGUGAUUUGGAGAAAAAGUAUCCAGAGACCUGGAAAUCAGGGCCACUUUGACGUGAUAGACCUUCUGUUGGGACUUCGUCACAGCAUUUUUUGGAACCUCUAAACAUUUUGAAUCAAUCAACUGAAUGCUUUAUUUUCUUCCCAGAUUCAAUUAAAGUUAUAGUCAUAUCUGCAUGUUUAUUUGGAUUAUGGAAUACAGGAUCUUCUGACAUCUUUCUCAAGUUCCUGUGCUAUUUUAUGAAUACUGAAGAUCAUAUUUUGUUUUUGUUCAUAUGAUAUGUAUUCUGCUGCUGGUUAGCAAAUUAUUGUGGUAAAAAGAAUUUUAUAUUG
Hemicordylus capensis (graceful crag lizard) is the source of this 1000-nucleotide long non-coding RNA. RefSeq lists it as uncharacterized. NCBI's taxonomy places the organism in Eukaryota, Metazoa, Chordata, Lepidosauria, Squamata, Cordylidae. The record is from RefSeq and is a predicted model, not a curated record. The transcript has 2 exons.